AGGGUUUGAUUAUGGCUCAGGAUGAACGCUGGCGGCGUGCUUAACACAUGCAAGUCGAGCGAAGCACCUUGACGGAUUUCUUCGGAUUGAAGCCUUGGUGACUGAGCGGCGGACGGGUGAGUAACGCGUGGGUAACCUGCCUCAUACAGGGGGAUAACAGUUGGAAACGGCUGCUAAUACCGCAUAAGCGCACAGUACCGCAUGGUACGGUGUGAAAAACUCCGGUGGUAUGAGAUGGACCCGCGUCUGAUUAGGUAGUUGGUGGGGUAACGGCCUACCAAGCCGACGAUCAGUAGCCGACCUGAGAGGGUGACCGGCCACAUUGGGACUGAGACACGGCCCAA
Molecule: ribosomal RNA, 344 nt
Filed under: uncultured bacterium
Lineage: Bacteria
Description: bacterial SSU rRNA
Rfam family: Bacterial small subunit ribosomal RNA
Source: RNAcentral